AGUGAACGCUGGCGGUAGGCCUAACACAUGCAAGUCGAACGGCAGCACAGUAAGAGCUUGCUCUUACGGGUGGCGAGUGGCGGACGGGUGAGGAAUACAUCGGAAUCUACUUUUUCGUGGGGGAUAACGUAGGGAAACUUACGCUAAUACCGCAUACGACCUACGGGUGAAAGCAGGGGAUCUUCGGACCUUGCGCGAUUGAAUGAGCCGAUGUCGGAGUAGCUAGUUGGCGGGGUAAAGGCCCACCAAGGCGACGAUCCGUAGCUGGUCUGAGAGGAUGGUCAGCCACACUGGAACUGAGACACGGUCCAGACUCCUACGGGAGGCAGCAGUGGGGAAUAUUGGACAAUGGGCGCAAGCCUGAUCCAGCCAUACCGCGUGGGUGAAGAAGGCCUUCGGGUUGUAAAGCCCUUUUGUUGGGAAAGAAAAGCAGCAGGUUAAUACCCCGCUGUUCUGACGGUACCCAAAGAAUAAGCACCGGCUAACUUCGUG
This 492-nucleotide ribosomal RNA is filed under the name uncultured bacterium. RNAcentral describes it as "partial 16S ribosomal RNA". It matches the Rfam family "Bacterial small subunit ribosomal RNA", at positions 29 to 507 of the family's 1533-position model. The record is from RNAcentral.